CCGCCCGGCACCGCCCGCCGAACCGUGGCGCAGGCCAAUAUCCGCCGGUUCGGCGGGGCUGCGGUCCUUGCCCGGAUUUUGGGCAGCGUGCACCAGCAGGCGACAAAUCGGCAGGAAUCGCUGGCGGAAAAGCCCGCUCCGUCA
Molecule: small RNA, 144 nt
Filed under: Pseudomonas paraeruginosa PA7
Lineage: Bacteria; Pseudomonadati; Pseudomonadota; Gammaproteobacteria; Pseudomonadales; Pseudomonadaceae
Description: Pseudomonas aeruginosa PA7 Pseudomonas sRNA P33
Rfam family: Pseudomonas sRNA P33
Source: Rfam by way of RNAcentral